This 1209-nucleotide ribosomal RNA is filed under the name Triticum aestivum (bread wheat). Its description in RNAcentral is "partial small subunit ribosomal RNA". The record is from RNAcentral. Lineage: Eukaryota; Viridiplantae; Streptophyta; Magnoliopsida; Poales; Poaceae.
UUUCUGCCAUAUGGAGUGAAUGGAAUGCUUGCUGGAUCAGUGACCGUUUUCUUUGCCUACAUAGGCUUUGAUUCAGUUGCGAGCACCGCUGAGGAGGUGACGAAUCCACAACGAGAUCUGCCGCUGGGAAUAGCCAUGUCAUUGACGAUUUGCUGUUCCUUGUACAUGCUGGUUUCAGUUGUUAUUGUCGGUCUGGUGCCAUACUUUGCUAUGGACCCAGAUACCCCUAUUUCAUCCGCCUUUGCGAGGCACGGGAUGCAGUGGGCGAUUAUAUCAGUAACAUCUGGUGUUGUUCUCGCUCUCUGCUCAACCUUGAUGGGAUCACUUCUGCCACAGCCAAGGAUAUUGAUGGCCAUGGCGAGAGAUGGGCUAUUGCCAUCCUUCUUCUCUGAUGUUAGCGAGAAGACACAAGUUCCUGUCAAGAGCACAAUCAUAACUGGCAUCUGCGCGGCUUCUCUGGCUUUCUUCAUGGAUGUUUCACAACUGGCAGGAAUGGUCAGUGUAGGCACGCUCCUCGCGUUCACCAUAGUCGCCGUCUCCAUCUUGAUCCUCAGAUAUGUACCUCCAGAUGAGGUACCCCUGCCAACCUCUCUGCAAACGUCAUUCCGCUUAAGCCAAGAAUGUGAUGAGGAAAAGGUGGGGAGUCCUCUUGGAGAUGGGAACCAUGAACAGGGGACGUCUGAGAUUAAGGAUGUGAUCGUAGUAGAAUCAAUCAAUGACCCUCUUAUUGAGAAGCAGCUAUAUGCAAACAAAUUGGAUGAGUUAAAGCGGCGGAAAACCGCUGCUCGCAGCAUAGCAUCUGUAUGCGUAGGGGUGCUAAUCCUGACGGCUUCAGCUUCUGUAACGUUCCUGCCAUUCCUGGUGAUGUGCUUAUUCUGCGUGUUUGGUGGCCUGCUCCUCCUAGCUGGUCUCGGAAUGCUCUCCUGGAUCGACCAGGACGACGGAAGGCACUCAUUUGGUCACUCUGGAGGGUUCAUCUGCCCGUUUGUUCCGCUGCUGCCAGUGAUGUGCAUUCUCAUAAACACAUACUUGCUCAUAAAUCUAGGGGGUGGCAUGUGGAUGCGGGUCGGGGUAUGGCUGGUGAUGGGGAUCUUCGUGUACAUUUUCUGCGGCCGGACCCACAGCUCGCUGACGGAUGUCGUGUACGUCUCCCUGGCUCAGGCAAACGAGAUAUACGGUUCUUCCUCUUCGUCAGCGUUUGUGGCCUAG